RNAcentral lists this long non-coding RNA (230 nucleotides) under Glycine max (soybean). RNAcentral's name for it is "long non-coding RNA (GMAX_LNC003224)". The record is from RNAcentral. Lineage: Eukaryota; Viridiplantae; Streptophyta; Magnoliopsida; Fabales; Fabaceae.
UAAUUACAACGGUAAAAACCGUGUCGGGGAAACUCCCCUCUCACACAAAGUCAGAAAAAGAAAAAACUUCCCAAGCUAACAGGUCAGUUGCAACAGGUUUUAUAUACAUGACAGACUAGACCACUUCUAUCGUUACCCAACAUAUAUUUGCUGUCCAAGCUGCUGUGCACCCUUACUUUUCUUCCAGGUUGUCGCCAACUCUAUACAAUCAGUCUCAAAGAGGGUAUUCU